CCAAAAAAAGCAAAAAGAUAAAAGGAAGAGUGGGCAGGAGUCAGGCGGGCGCACAUUUCUGAAAUGCCGUGUUAACUUCGCUGCUAGACUUCAGGAGCCCUUUUUUUCCUCACCUCUUUUCAAAGCCAAGUUGAACUCUGCUGCAGUUUUUCCCCAACGUGCUUGACCCUGACCCCUCUUGUUUCGUGUGGCGUCUCAUGGGGAUUUGCAUUCGUUGCUGUCCUUUGGGAGACCAGCUUCUAAGGAGUCACAAGUCAGAUAAUCAAAAAAACCACAGACACAAAUGCCUAGCACACCAGGUGGUAUUCCGUUCGAAGAUAUUAUUAAUGAGAUAUUUUAAUUUUGUUUGUACGAAGACUUUGAAACCCCGUCUCGACUUUCUAUUUAGAGAACACGUUGGUUCACAGCAGCCACUUUUCAGGGGCUCAGGGGCCACAUGGUUCAGACCCUCGGGAGGGGGAGAGCACACAGGGCUUUGUGACCUUUUAAUGCAGCAAAAAAAGGAUUCCAGAGGCUUUCUUCCCCCAACCCCCUUCUCCACUAAUCCUCUUCAAUUACACUUAUUUCCUCGGUGAGCUGAGGGUGAAAGUAUUUACCACUCCUUGCCUCAAAGGGAUUUUGAAAAGAUUAAAAAAAAAAUGUUUCAGCUCAGUCUUCUGAGCCCAUCAGCCCAUCCCGGUGGUCAUGAUUAUAAAUAAAAGCCAUCGCUGUUAUUUGCCUUCUUGAGUCCGUAAUAUGUCAUCGAUUUGAGCAGCUGCAGAGUUUGCUUUGGAGAAUUAAGCUGAAAAAAACAAACACAGGAGUGAAAAGAAAAAGAAUGUGGAACUUUGAGUCAGGCUUUUCUUCAGAACACACUCAAUUGUCUGAGGGGUGAAGCUUCCUCUAUUUUAACAAAGGAAAGUUAAUUGUGAAGCAUCUUGUGAAAUGUGGAAACUAACAUGAUAAGCAGUGACGUUUUAAUGGGCCGAAAACUAGCUUGCAUAGACACUGCAGGCCAAAAAAAAAAGAAAGAAAGAAAGAAAAGAAAAAACGAAUGCUCCUUUUAUCCAUCUAAAGAGAAAAAAACCCACCUCAUUAUCAGCUCUCAAUAGAGGAUUAAGAAGCUCUGAGCAGCUGAGCAGAGAAGCUUCUGGAAGGCUGGCAUGCCAGGGAAGUUUAUCAGGUUUUUGAAAGGAAGCAUGUCAACCCCACUGAACUCCCACCCUCUCGUCUACACAAUGGGGAGAGCUACACACACAGGUCUGACUGGCCAGUCUACGUUUGCAAAGAGAUGAGUUAGAAAAGACCAGAGGUUGGGGCAGGCUGGACACGGGAGGGGGAGCUGACUAAAAGGCUUCUGUUAGUUGCAGGUACCUCCCCUCGUCCCGUCACUGUUCUUGCCCUUGCAGACAGCUGAAGGACAUGUCUGAGAUACAACUGGGGGCGGGGGCAGCUAGCUGCUCCCCUGAAUGAGCAGGCCCACUGCUGGUCCUAGUAGGGUUUUCUCUUUCUCUUCCACUCAGCAGAUGGAGACCGGGACAUUCUAACGUUGGCAAAGUUAAACAUUCAAGCUACCACUUAAAUUUUCUGCUGCAAAAGAAUUUUCAACCACCAAAUGGUUGGAAUUAAGGGGAAAAGAUCACCACUCCCCUGUAAUGCCCUUACGAAAACUGCUUGCUGUUUCUUAUUUCAGGCUGGAAGAUUCUUUAGGACGUCCAAUUUGGGUAGACGAUGCUGUCUUCAGCAUUGCGUUACGGAUGCUCAGGAAUGAGCGUCAUUGCGGUGGACCCUUUCUGUGGCCGUGGGCCUUGGGAGACCAGAUUAGUGCUGAGCUAACAUCUGCUGCCAAUCAUCUUCUUUCUGCUGAGGAAGACUGGCCCUGAGCUAACAUCUGUGCCCAUCUCCCUCUACUUUAUAUAUGGGAUGCCUACCACAGCAUGGCUUGCCAAGUGGUGCCAUGCCCACACCUGGGAUCCGAACUGGCGAAGCCUGGGCCACCAAAGCAGAACAUGCAAACUUAAUUGCUGCACCACCAGGCUGGCCCCCACCUUUGGUGUUUUUUUGAUGGUGAACCUUAAAGUGCUCAUUGUAUCAAUUUAUCGGGACCUGCCUAUACCAAUGACUACUAUUUGUAGACAGGAAACAAACAACAACCAGAGAUUGCCAGGAUCCUGGAGUUAUUGGCAUCCACUUGCCUUUCCCUCGCCUUUUGCUGUUUUGGGGUUCCUGCCUCAUGAGAGCUAUAGCUGGAGGUCCAAGAAAGCAACUUGCACGCUUUGGGUGGGAAAAGCUUUUGGCCUUCACAAGGGGAAACGCCCCAGCGAACGUGUGGUUUUCCUCCAUAGCUAAGUUGAGCACAACAUGUUAAGAAAUAUUGCCCAAAACCUUUCCUAUCAGAAGCAUUUAAGUUAUUCUUAAACAGUUUUGACAACAGCAUAUUUUACCUCGAAGCCAUAACCAUGCAUUAUUUAGAUAACAGAUUUCUGCUGAAUUCCAUCCCCUUUCUUGUCCUAAAUGUUGUAAUGUAUUGGGUAUUUAAGAACACACGCAAGAACGUUAGCCACAGGACUAUGUGUCCAACCUACUCUGUAAAAUGCUCCUAUUAUCAAAAUGUAUGCUUCUGAGUUACAAAAUAGUUUUUCCCUUUUAGAUGGUAUGCAGAUUGCCAGGGAAUAAUGCCUUUUAUUGUUAACCUUUGUUAAGUAAUAGUAGCAUUUGUUUCCGUUAAAACAUGACUAUUUCUGUGUAACAUUUAUUGCAUAAAAAUAGAACAACGUUGACAAUUUGCAGCCCCUCUUCUUGCCAGCUCUUCCCCUAGAUGUCUGGAAGACAAACGUACUUUUUC
Molecule: long non-coding RNA, 2824 nt
Organism: Equus caballus (horse)
Lineage: Eukaryota; Metazoa; Chordata; Mammalia; Perissodactyla; Equidae
Source: Ensembl